Molecule: ribosomal RNA, 546 nt
Filed under: Triticum aestivum (bread wheat)
Lineage: Eukaryota; Viridiplantae; Streptophyta; Magnoliopsida; Poales; Poaceae
Description: partial small subunit ribosomal RNA
Source: RNAcentral
AUGCUUUACGGCUUAGAACCGGGACUUCAACGACAUUUUGAACGUCAUGGAGCAUAUGAGAUGUUUCAGGAGUUAAAGUUAAUAUUUCAAGCAAAUGCUCGGAUUGAGAGAUAUGAAGUCUCCAAUAAGUUCUAUAGCUGCAAGAUGGAGGAGAAUAGUUCUGUUAGUGAACAUAUGCUCAGAAUGUCUGGGUACCACAACCACUUGACUCAACUGGGAGUUAAUCUUCCUGAUGAUAGUGUCAUUAAUAGAGUUCUUCAGUCACUGCCACCAAGCUACAAAAACUUCAUGAUGAACUAUAAUAUGCAAGGGAUGAACAAGACUAUUCCCGAGCUCUUCGCGAUGCUAAAGGUUGCGGAGGUAGAAAUCAAGAAGGAGCAUCAAGUGUUGAUGGUCAACAAGACCACUAGUUUCAAGAAAAAGGGUAAAGGGAAGAAGAGGAACUUCAAGAAGAACGGCAAGCAAGUUGCUGCUCAAGUGAAGAAGCCUAAGUCUGGACCUAAGCCUAAGACUAAGUGCUUCUAUUGCAAAGGGACUGGUCACUAG